UACGUAGGGUCCGAGCGUUGUCCGGAAUUAUUGGGCGUAAAGAGCUCGUAGGCGGUCUGUCGCGUCGGCUGUGAAAACCUGGGGCUCAACUCCAGGCCUGCAGUCGAUACGGGCAGACUAGAGUUCGGUAGGGGAGACUGGAAUUCCUGGUGUAGCGGUGAAAUGCGCAGAUAUCAGGAGGAACACCGGUGGCGAAGGCGGGUCUCUGGGCCGAAACUGACACUGAGGAGCGAAAGCGUGGGGAGCGAACAGG
Molecule: ribosomal RNA, 253 nt
Filed under: uncultured bacterium
Lineage: Bacteria
Description: partial 16S ribosomal RNA
Rfam family: Bacterial small subunit ribosomal RNA
Source: RNAcentral